This 465-nucleotide ribosomal RNA is filed under the name uncultured bacterium. Its description in RNAcentral is "partial 16S ribosomal RNA". It matches the Rfam family "Bacterial small subunit ribosomal RNA", at positions 28 to 507 of the family's 1533-position model. The record is from RNAcentral.
GACGAACGCUGGCGGCGUGCUUAACACAUGCAAGUCGAACGGAAAGGCCCCUUCGGGGGUACUCGAGUGGCGAACAGGUGAGUAACACGUGAGUAACCUGCCCUUGACUUCGGGAUAACUUCAGGAAACUGGGGCUAAUACCGGAUAGGAAUCCUUGCUGUAUGGUGGGGGUUGGAAAGCUUCGGCGGUUUUGGAUGGACUUGCGGCUUAUCAGCUUGUUGGUGGGGUAGUGGCUUACCAAGGCUUUGACGGGUAGCCGGCCUGAGAGGGCGACCGGCAAAAUUGGGACAGAGAUACGGCCCAGACUCCUACGGGAGGCAGCAGUGGGGAAUAUUGCACAAUGGGCGGAAGCCUGAUGCAGCAACGCCGCGUGCGGGAUGACGGCCUUCGGGUUGUAAACCGCUUUCAGCAGGGGCGAAGCUUGUGGUGACGGUACCUGCAGAAGAAGCACCGGCUAACUACGUG